RNAcentral lists this ribosomal RNA (247 nucleotides) under uncultured bacterium. Its description in RNAcentral is "partial 16S ribosomal RNA". It matches the Rfam family "Bacterial small subunit ribosomal RNA", at positions 796 to 1041 of the family's 1533-position model. The record is from RNAcentral.
CACGCCGUAAACGAUGAUCACUAUGAGUAUGGAGAUUCGACCCUCUGUGCUCAGUAGCUAACGCGUUAAGUGAUCCGCCUGGGGAGUACGAGCGCAAGCUUAAAACUCAAAGGAAUUGACGGGGACCCGCACAAGCAGAGGAGUAUGGGGUUUAAUUCGACGCUAAGCGAAGAACCUUACCGAGGCUUGACAUCUUGGGAAGUUUUGGGAAACCAUUACGUGCCUUCGGGAACCCAAUGACAGAUGC